GGGGCUGACCGGAAUUGACAGCUUGAGCAUGUCGCGAGUAAGCGUGCCGGGAGUUGGGUAAAUCUCCUGCCAAAAAGUUAUCCGAACAACAACCGGCGAGUAUAGCUACGCCAUGGCUGCUUAGUCUAGGUACUAAGUAAUGUCAUCGUCCCGCAUCCGUCCUCCUUUUCACGGGUGAGCACGGGGCGUCGUAAGUAAAGGGAUAGUUGCGUGGGAGGUGUGACCACGCAGCGAAUCUAACUGCAUCUAAGGGUAAACCAAGGGCCUGAUGUGCGCCUGGGAUACCACGAAAAUCUAAGCAUAGAUACGCACGUAGAAAGCUCGACGGCUUCCUUGUCUGGACCAGGGUUCGACUCCCUGCAGCUCCACUU
This 371-nucleotide transfer-messenger RNA is filed under the name Hymenobacter jejuensis. RNAcentral's name for it is "Standard tmRNA". It matches the Rfam family "transfer-messenger RNA". Rfam says of the family: Bacterial tmRNA, also known as 10Sa RNA or SsrA, is named for its dual tRNA and mRNA-like properties. Its role is to liberate the mRNA from a stalled ribosome. The record is from Rfam by way of RNAcentral. Lineage: Bacteria; Pseudomonadati; Bacteroidota; Cytophagia; Cytophagales; Hymenobacteraceae.